This 492-nucleotide ribosomal RNA is filed under the name uncultured bacterium. RNAcentral's name for it is "partial 16S ribosomal RNA". It matches the Rfam family "Bacterial small subunit ribosomal RNA", at positions 29 to 507 of the family's 1533-position model. The record is from RNAcentral.
AGUGAACGCUGGCGGUAGGCCUAACACAUGCAAGUCGAACGGCAGCACAGUAAGAGCUUGCUCUUACGGGUGGCGAGUGGCGGACGGGUGAGGAAUACAUCGGAAUCUACUUUUUCGUGGGGGAUAACGUAGGGAAACUUACGCUAAUACCGCAUACGAUCUACGGAUGAAAGCAGGGGAUCUUCGGACCUUGCGCGAUUGAAUGAGCCGAUGUCGGAUUAGCUAGUUGGCGGGGUAAAGGCCCACCAAGGCGACGAUCCGUAGCUGGUCUGAGAGGAUGAUCAGCCACACUGGAACUGAGACACGGUCCAGACUCCUACGGGAGGCAGCAGUGGGGAAUAUUGGACAAUGGGCGCAAGCCUGAUCCAGCCAUACCGCGUGGGUGAAGAAGGCCUUCGGGUUGUAAAGCCCUUUUGUUGGGAAAGAAAAGCAGCAGGUUAAUACCCCGCUGUUCUGACGGUACCCAAAGAAUAAGCACCGGCUAACUUCGUG